This 500-nucleotide ribosomal RNA is filed under the name uncultured bacterium. RNAcentral's name for it is "partial 16S ribosomal RNA". It matches the Rfam family "Bacterial small subunit ribosomal RNA", at positions 28 to 507 of the family's 1533-position model. The record is from RNAcentral.
GACGAACGCUGGCGGCGUGCUUAACACAUGCAAGUCGAACGGGUCUGCCCUGUUUUUUGCGGGGUGGGUCAGUGGCGAACGGGUGAGUAACACGUGAGUAACCUGCCCCUCACUUCUGGAUAACCGCUUGAAAGGGUGGCUAAUACGGGGUGUUCUGGCUGUGCCGCAUGGUGUGGCUGGGAAAGAUUCACUUUUGUGGUGUUUUGGUGGGGGAUGGGCUCGCGGCCUAUCAGCUUGUUGGUGGGGUGAUGGCCUGCCAAGGCUUUGACGGGUAGCCGGCCUGGGAGGGUGGGCGGUCACACUGGGACUGAGAUACGGCCCAGACUCCUGCGGGAGGCAGCAGUGGGGGGUAUUGCACAAUGGGCGGAAGCCUGAUGCAGCGACGUCGCGUGAGGGAUGGAGGCCUUCGGGUUGUGAACCUCUUUCGCCGGUGAAGAAGGUCCUGCUCCUUGUGGUGGGGUUGACGGUAGCCGGGUUAUGAAGCGCCGGCUAACUACGUG